UACAGAGGUGGCGAGCGUUAUUCGGAAUUAUUGGCGUAAAGGGCGCGUAGGCGGCCUAAGCAAGUCCUGGGUGAAAUCCCUCGGCUCAACCGAGGAACUGCCUCGGAAACUGCAUGCGUCGAGGCCGGGAGAGGGUAGCGGAAUUCCCAGUGUAACGGUGAAAUGCGUAGAUAUUGGGAGGAACACCGGUGGCGAAGGCGGCUACCUGGACGGUUCUGACGCUGAUGCGCGAAAGGCGUGG
This 241-nucleotide ribosomal RNA is filed under the name uncultured bacterium. Its description in RNAcentral is "partial 16S ribosomal RNA". It matches the Rfam family "Bacterial small subunit ribosomal RNA", at positions 524 to 765 of the family's 1533-position model. The record is from RNAcentral.